UACGUAGGGUGCGAGCGUUAAUCGGAUUUACUGGGCGUAAAGCGCGCGCAGGCGGCCCGUUAAGACAGAUGUGAAAUCCCUAGGCUCAACCUAGGAAUUGCGCUUGUGACUGGCGGGCUCGAGUACGGUAGAGGGGGGUGGAAUUCCUGGUGUAGCAGUGAAAUGCGUAGAGAUCAGGAGGAACACCGAUGGCGAAGGCGGCCCCCUGGGCCUGUACUGACGCUCAUGCGCGAAAGCGUGGGGAGCAAACAGG
This 253-nucleotide ribosomal RNA is filed under the name uncultured microorganism. RNAcentral's name for it is "partial 16S ribosomal RNA". It matches the Rfam family "Bacterial small subunit ribosomal RNA", at positions 524 to 776 of the family's 1533-position model. The record is from RNAcentral.